GCCAUCCAGAUCCCUUUCUCCUCAGAUCUAACGCUGGUCGGGGUUAAAAGAGGAGGAAAAGUAAAAACUGAAGUGGCCUUAGAGCCUUUAAUGACACACCAGUUCAUUUCAAAUAGUU
Molecule: small nucleolar RNA, 118 nt
Filed under: Echinops telfairi (small Madagascar hedgehog)
Lineage: Eukaryota; Metazoa; Chordata; Mammalia; Afrosoricida; Tenrecidae
Description: Small nucleolar RNA SNORA61 (ENSETEG00000025806.1)
Source: RNAcentral